RNAcentral lists this ribosomal RNA (465 nucleotides) under uncultured bacterium. RNAcentral describes it as "partial 16S ribosomal RNA". It matches the Rfam family "Bacterial small subunit ribosomal RNA", at positions 28 to 507 of the family's 1533-position model. The record is from RNAcentral.
GACGAACGCUGGCGGCGUGCUUAACACAUGCAAGUCGUACGGUAAGGCCCUUUCGGGGGUACACGAGUGGCGAACGGGGGAGUAACACGUGAGUAACCUGCCCACAACUUUGGGAUAACGCUAGGAAACUGGUGCUAAUACUGGAUAUGUGCUCCUGCUGCAUGGUGGGGGUUGGAAAGCUCCGGCGGUUGUGGAUGGACUUGCGGCCUAUCAGCUUGUUGGUGGGGUAGUGGCCUACCAAGGCGGCGACGGGUAGCCGGCCUGGGAGGGUGACCGGCCACAUUGGGACUGGGAUACGGCCCAGACUCCUACGGGAGGCAGCAGUGGGGAAUAUUGCACUAUGGGCGCGAGCCUGAUGCAGCAACGCCGCGUGCGGGAUGACGGCCUUCGGGUUGGAAUCCGCUUUCAGCAGGGACGGAGCUUUUUGUGACGGUACCUGCAGAAGAAGCACCGGCUAACUACGUG